Molecule: transfer RNA, 73 nt
Filed under: Neisseriaceae bacterium
Lineage: Bacteria; Pseudomonadati; Pseudomonadota; Betaproteobacteria; Neisseriales; Neisseriaceae
Description: tRNA-Gln
Rfam family: tRNA
About the family: Transfer RNA (tRNA) molecules are approximately 80 nucleotides in length.
Source: RNAcentral
UCCCCUGUAGCAUAAUUGGCGAUGCAACUCCCUCUGAAGGAGGAGAUUUCAGGUUCAAACCCUGACGGGGCAA